CGCAGGAGGCGGGCGCUCCCGUUCACACUGCUGGCCGAGUGGAGGAAAUUUCCUCCCAAACAGGCGCUUUCCAGGGUCACGAAAUACCGGUUGUCCCUGGGACAGGCCGUGUGUCAUGAAAGACAUGGGGCCUCCAGCCUGACAGCAAGCCCACAGGAGGCCCCCAGCCAGAACCACCCCACUCGGCGGCUCCGGAUUCCUGACCCUGGGCUGCUGUGAGAUGAUGAACGUCUGUCCUGAACCCCCAAACUGUUCCACAGCAGACGCACCAUUUUACACUCCGCCCAGCCGUGUACGAGGGUUCCAGUGUCUCCACGUCCUCGCCAACACUUGCUAUUUUCCGUUUUCUUGAAUAAAGUCGUCCUGGUGGGUGCGAAGUGCUAUCUCACUGUGGUUUUGAUUUGCGUUUCCCUAGUGACUAAUGAGCCAGCCCCGGUGGGCUAGUGGUUAAGAUCUGGCGCUCUCGCUGCCAUGGCCCAGGUUCAUCUCCUGGUCCGGGAACCACACCACCCGUCUGUUGGUUGUCACACUACAGGGGCUGCAUGUUGCUGUGAUGCUGAAAGCUAUGCCACCAGGAUUUCAAACACCAGCAGUGUCACCCAUGGUGGACAGGUUUCAGCGGAGCUUCCAGACUAAGACAGACUAGGAAGAAGGAACUGGCCACCCAUUUUCGAAAAAAUUGGCCAUGAAAACCCUGUGAACAGCAGUGGAGCGCUGUCUGAUCGAGCGGCUGGAAGGCGAGAGGAUGGCGCAGAAAGCCCAGGCGGGUUCCGCUCUGCUGUGCACCAGGCGCUAGGUGUUGGAAUCCACUCGACAGCACUAACAACAAAUGACUAAUGACGCUGAGCAUCUUUUCAUGGGCUUGUUGGCCAUUUGAACCUCUUCUUUGGAGAAACGUCUAGUCAAAUCCUUUGUCCAUUUUUUAACUGGGCUGCUUGUCCUCUGGUUGUCGAGUUGUAAGAGUCCUUUAUAUGUUCUGGAUGUUAAACUCUUAUCAGACACAUGAUUUGCAAAUAUUGUCUCCAGACAGUUUUUCUAGAGGUUGGCUUUUGCGCAUUCUUGAUAAGCUCUUUUGGUGCAUAACAGUUUUUCAUUUUUAUGAAGUCCAAUUUAUCUAUCUUUUCUUUUCUUGCAUGUGCUUCUGGUGUCAAAUCUAGGAAUCCAUUGCCAUACUCGAGGUCAUGAGGAUUUACCCUGAUGUUCUUUUCUCAGGAGCUUUAUAGUUUCAGCUCUAUUUGUAUUUAGGCUGUUGAUGCAUUUUGAGAUAGUUUCCGUAUGUGGUGUGUG
This 1287-nucleotide long non-coding RNA is filed under the name Equus caballus (horse). RNAcentral describes it as "lncRNA (ENSECAG00000053510.1)". The record is from RNAcentral. Lineage: Eukaryota; Metazoa; Chordata; Mammalia; Perissodactyla; Equidae.